GACGAACGCUGGCGGCGUGCUUAACACAUGCAAGUCGAGCGGUAAGGCUCCUUCGGGAGUACACGAGCGGCGAACGGGUGAGUAACACGUGAGCAAUCUGCCCUUCACACGGGGAUGACCCUCGGAAACGAGAGCUAGUACCCGAUACGACCACUUCAGGCAUCUGAUGGUGGUGGAAAGUUCCGGCGGUGAAGGAUGAGCUCGCGGCCUAUCAGCUUGUUGGUGGGGUAACGGCCCACCAAGGCAACGACGGGUAGCCGGCCUGAGAGGGUGACCGGCCACACUGGGACUGAGACACGGCCCGGACUCCUACGGGAGGCAGCAGUGGGGAAUAUUGGACAAUGGGCGAAAGCCUGAUCCAGCAACGCCGCGUGAGGGAUGACGGCCUUCGGGUUGUAAACCUCUUUCAGCAGGGACGAAGCGCAAGUGACGGUACCUGCAGAAGAAGCACCGGCCAACUACGUGCCAGCCGCCGCCGUAA
RNAcentral lists this ribosomal RNA (481 nucleotides) under uncultured bacterium. RNAcentral's name for it is "partial 16S ribosomal RNA". It matches the Rfam family "Bacterial small subunit ribosomal RNA", at positions 28 to 523 of the family's 1533-position model. The record is from RNAcentral.